UCUCCGUUGGUGAACCAGCGGAGGGAUCAUUACAGAGUUUUCACAACUCCCAACCCUUCCGAACCGUACCCAUUCUGUUCUCGUUGCUUCCCGCGUGGGGGCCGGGGCGGCCCGAAACGCCCUCCCCGCCCCCCCCCCCGCGGGCGGUUGGCACAACGAACCUUCAUUUCUUAACCACCAGAAACCGUUCGAAAAUACAAACAAAAUAAUUCAAACUUUCAACAACUGAUCUCUUCGCUCUGGCAUCGAAGAACAAAGCAGCAGAUCGGAAGUGCACAC
RNAcentral lists this unclassified non-coding RNA (279 nucleotides) under plant metagenome. RNAcentral describes it as "partial contains small subunit ribosomal RNA, internal transcribed spacer 1, and 5.8S ribosomal RNA". The record is from RNAcentral.